CCUACGGGAGACUGCAGUCGAGAAUCAUUCACAAUGGGGGAAACCCUGAUGGUGCGACGCCGCGUGGGGGAAUGAAGGUCUUCGGAUUGUAAACCCCUGUCAUGUGGGAGCAAAUUAAAAAGAUAGUACCACAAGAGGAAGAGACGGCUAACUCUGUGCCAGCAGCCGCGGUAAUACAGAGGUCUCAAGCGUUGUUCGGAAUCACUGGGCGUAAGGCGUGCGUAGGCUGUUUCGUAAGUCGUGUGUGAAAGGCGCGGGCUCAACCCGCGGACGGCACAUGAUACUGCGAGACUAGAGUAAUGGAGGGGGAACCGGAAUUCUCGGUGUAGCAGUGAAAUGCGUAGAUAUCGAGAGGAACACUCGUGGCGAAGGCGGGUUCCUGGACAUUAACUGACGCUGAGGCACGAAGGCCAGGGGAGCGAAAGGGAUUAGAUACCCUAGUAGUC
RNAcentral lists this ribosomal RNA (446 nucleotides) under uncultured bacterium. RNAcentral describes it as "partial 16S ribosomal RNA". It matches the Rfam family "Bacterial small subunit ribosomal RNA", at positions 338 to 795 of the family's 1533-position model. The record is from RNAcentral.